This 76-nucleotide transfer RNA is filed under the name Bacillota bacterium. Its description in RNAcentral is "Firmicutes bacterium (anaerobic digester metagenome) tRNA-Trp". It matches the Rfam family "tRNA". From Rfam's summary of the family: Transfer RNA (tRNA) molecules are approximately 80 nucleotides in length. Lineage: Bacteria; Bacillati; Bacillota. The record is from RNAcentral. RNAcentral also lists the same sequence under 4 other names.
AGGGGAGUAGCUCAAUUGGUAGAGCGUCGGUCUCCAAAACCGGUGGUUGCGGGUUCGAGUCCUGUCUCCCCUGCCA